CAGCAAAUCGUCUCCU
This 16-nucleotide small RNA is filed under the name Arabidopsis thaliana (thale cress). RNAcentral describes it as "ATSL133630". Lineage: Eukaryota; Viridiplantae; Streptophyta; Magnoliopsida; Brassicales; Brassicaceae. The record is from RNAcentral.